RNAcentral lists this ribosomal RNA (421 nucleotides) under uncultured bacterium. Its description in RNAcentral is "bacterial SSU rRNA". It matches the Rfam family "Bacterial small subunit ribosomal RNA", at positions 355 to 787 of the family's 1533-position model. The record is from RNAcentral.
UGGGGAAUAUUGGGCAAUGGGCGCAAGCCUGACCCAGCAACGCCGCGUGAAGGAAGAAGGCUUUCGGGUUGUAAACUUCUUUUAUCAGGGACGAAGCAAGUGACGGUACCUGAUGAAUAAGCCACGGCUAACUACGUGCCAGCAGCCGCGGUAAUACGUAGGUGGCGAGCGUUAUCCGGAUUUACUGGGUGUAAAGGGCGUGUAGGCGGGCUUGCAAGUCAGAUGUGAAAUUCCAGGGCUCAACCCUGGAACUGCAUUUGAAACUGUAGGUCUUGAGUGCUGGAGAGGCAAUCGGAAUUCCGUGUGUAGCGGUGAAAUGCGUAGAUAUACGGAGGAACACCAGUGGCGAAGGCGGAUUGCUGGACAGUAACUGACGCUGAGGCGCGAAAAGCUGGGGUAGCAAAAGCAGGAUUAGAUACCC